AACAAUGAGAGAUACUUUAUUGUUUGCAUUCAGUUGUUUCCUGUUUUGAGGACACAGAAUUAAAAAUCUGUUGUCACAUGGAUGUUCACAACUACUCAAGUUUUGCUGCACAUUCCAAAAUUUAAUUUAAUUUCUAUAAUUAGUCAUGUAUAGAAAAGAAGAGAAAAUAAAGAGGGAAUUAAAUAAUAAAGUUCUUUCAUGUAUAAAUUUCUCAAUAUUCUCAUGCAUUGCCUUCAACACUACUUUCACAACCAAAGAAAAGACUUGCAUCCCAAAGGUAAUUCCACUCCCUUGUAUACCAAUAUGUAACCUAAAAAGAAAAAAGAGAAAAAAGAAGAAGAAGAGGUAAUGUAAUGUAAUAAAUAUAUUUCAACCUUCGGAUUUUACAUUAACCCCCCCACUUCAUAAAAUUGUUUUGUCAUAGUACACCCUAACACAGGGUCUCACCAACAUAGUUUUCUUUAUUUACUUGCAGAGACCAAAGCACAUGCAAGCAACCUCUUCAUAACCUAGUUUUAUUUCAUUUAUGUGGAUUCUGCCUGGUGUGUUUGAAGUGCUUCAAUUGUGUGCACAUGGAUGUGGCUGAGUUGAUGUGUGUACUGGUGUGUAGGGGUGAGUGAGAGAGAGAGUGAGGACAAUUGGACAAAGUGGAUGUCUGCUACAAAAACACCACAUCAAGCCAUCCUAACAUGUUAAGCCCCUUGAUGAAGAUGAGUAAAGACCCAUGUUGUGUUUAGCAUGGAGAAGCAAGUAGAUUAAAUGCUCUGCAGGUUGACAAGGGUGACUGUUGGUACCAUUGAUCCAUAGUUGAGGCCAGGGUGAUUUACUUGAACAGUACUGGUUUCCAUUGCUUGCUUGCUUUACAAGUAGUUUAAUUAUUUUA
This 883-nucleotide long non-coding RNA is filed under the name Physcomitrium patens. RNAcentral describes it as "long non-coding RNA (PPAT_LNC000943)". The record is from RNAcentral. Lineage: Eukaryota; Viridiplantae; Streptophyta; Bryopsida; Funariales; Funariaceae.